GCGAGGAUGGCGGAACUGGUAGACGCACCAGACUUAGGAUCUGGUAUCGAAAGAUGUGAGGGUUCAAGUCCCUUUCCUCGCACCA
RNAcentral lists this transfer RNA (85 nucleotides) under Deinococcus maricopensis DSM 21211. RNAcentral describes it as "tRNA-Leu (TAG) (tRNA-Leu-TAG-1-1)". It matches the Rfam family "tRNA". Rfam says of the family: Transfer RNA (tRNA) molecules are approximately 80 nucleotides in length. Their secondary structure includes four short double-helical elements and three loops (D, anti-codon, and T loops). The record is from RNAcentral. Lineage: Bacteria; Thermotogati; Deinococcota; Deinococci; Deinococcales; Deinococcaceae.